Symphalangus syndactylus (siamang) is the source of this 1137-nucleotide long non-coding RNA. RefSeq lists it as uncharacterized. Lineage: Eukaryota; Metazoa; Chordata; Mammalia; Primates; Hylobatidae. The record is from RefSeq and is a predicted model, not a curated record.
GUUUUUUGGCCGCUUGAUUGUCUUCUUUUGACAAGUAUCUUUUCAUGCCUUUUGCCUAAUUUUUAAUGGGGUUGAUUUUUGCUUGUUGAAUUAAGUUUCUUAUAGAUCCAGGAAGUAACUUUAAAUUGUAUUUUUAGCCACAAAAGAUCAAUUAAGUCUACAAAACGCAAGUGAUUAUUUGUUUUAGCCAAUAAUUUCAAGUUCUCUUCACUGCUCCCAUGUAGAUUUUUUUAUUAAUAUAUGUUAUACAACAGUCCUCUUGUUCUAUGUAAAUCAAGCAAAUAAGCGUGAACAAAUCUAUACUUGCAAGGCACACACAACUUGAAGCCUGGCAGCGUCUGGCUGGAUAGACGUGCAACUUUUACAGAUGAAGUCACUGAAUUCUGUUCCAAUGAGAGAUAAGAGGAGCUGGAAUACAUGUAACCUGCAAUCUAAGCCCUGGAGUAUCUUCGCUGCUGCUCCUUUACUGCCAUCUUCUGACACGAUCUGUGUUUGCUGCUGGGAUCAUUUGUCACUUCUCUGAAGCUCUUCUCUUUGUGCGCUAUCUAGGCAGCACCAAGGAAUUUGAGCCAAGGCUACUAAAGCUGCUGUUGUUGAAGAAGCUGGUACUCUAGCUGAGCCUUAAGCAAGCCAUCACACACGUCUCUCAAGUUAAGUCCUUCAAGACAAUAGGGAUGAAGUGAUAUUGUUACUGUGAUUUCAAGUCUUCAAUCAACAUAUUAUAUAUCAGACUUGAACAACAGCACUGUUAGUGAAGUCAUAGCCAGAAGACGAGGAUGAGGUUUUUCAAAGAAAGGUAGAUAAUCUGCAUUGGAAGAGUGAAGCGGUUCAUAUAUUACUUUGAACAGAAACAGAAGGGAAAUGGGAAAAAAUUUAGAAAAUAAAGGAAAGAAUGUCCUUUCCAUGAAGACUUUUCUGAAAGGUUGUUGUUUUCUAAGACAGUAAAGGAGGCCAAGAUCCUUCAAGAGGAAGCAGGAAUGCAGUGUUCUGCAAAAUUAUCUAGCCAGAAGUCUGGAGCUUCCCUGGUUUUCAUGCUUGCUAAAUUCCAUAGAGGUUCAGUUUUUUCCUUGAGUCUGAAAUGCUUCAACAUUCUUGAAACAAAAAACUUCUUAUUUUUAAUAAUAAAAAGAUUGUGUU